GGCCUGUCUUAAGAUAAUGAGUUAUCUCAAUUGAUUAUUCACAGUUACAGAUGAAAUUCCUUGUUUUACUUUCCCCACUUCUCACUAUUGCACUUGACUAGUCUUAA
Cercocebus atys (sooty mangabey) is the source of this 107-nucleotide unclassified non-coding RNA. It matches the Rfam family "Y RNA". From Rfam's summary of the family: Y RNAs are components of the Ro ribonucleoprotein particle (Ro RNP), in association with Ro60 and La proteins. Lineage: Eukaryota; Metazoa; Chordata; Mammalia; Primates; Cercopithecidae. The record is from Ensembl.